This 204-nucleotide unclassified non-coding RNA is filed under the name plant metagenome. RNAcentral describes it as "partial contains small subunit ribosomal RNA, internal transcribed spacer 1, and 5.8S ribosomal RNA". The record is from RNAcentral.
UCUCCGUUGGUGAACCAGCGGAGGGAUCAUUACCGAGUUUACAACUCCCAAACCCAAUGUGAACUAUACCUGUCUACCGUUGCUUCUGCGGGUUCGUCCGCCGAGGGACCGACAAAUAAACUCUUGUAUUUCUAUCUUUAGCAUGUCUGAGUGGAAUCAUAAACAAAUGAAUCAAAACUUUCAACAACGGAUCUCUUGGUUCUG